RNAcentral lists this ribosomal RNA (245 nucleotides) under uncultured bacterium. Its description in RNAcentral is "partial 16S ribosomal RNA". It matches the Rfam family "Bacterial small subunit ribosomal RNA", at positions 90 to 334 of the family's 1533-position model. The record is from RNAcentral.
CGUGAGCGGCGGACGGGGGAGUAACGCGUGGGUAACCGUGCCUCAUACAGGGGGGUAACAGUUGGAAACGGCUGCUAAUACCGCAUAAGCGCACAGUACCGCAUGGUACGGUGUGAAAAACUCCGGUGGUAUGAGAUGGACCCGCGUCUGAUUAGGUAGUUGGUGGGGUAACGGCCUACCAAGCCGACGAUCAGUAGCCGACCUGAGAGGGUGACCGGCCACAUUGGGACUGAGACACGGCCCAA